AACCUUUUUCCUGUCAGUCAUUCUUUUUCUCCCGUCUGUUCCGCCGCUCAAGUGAAAAAAAGAAAAGAAAAGAAAGAAAAUACCCCUGCUGCUACCUCUUGAUAUUUUUCUUGCAUUCCUCUUCUCUGGAGCACGCCAUGUCUAGGAGAGACAUGGGGAAAAAAAAUUAUCACAUGGGAAUGCAAUCUGAUAUUGGAUCAAGAAUAUUAAGCAAGGGAUUCCAAGUGAUUUCGAGAGGGCGUUGUGAGUGUUGUUAGUUUGUUUCCUCGGGUUUAUGAGACUCGGGAUUAGGUGGAAUUGAGGAUUGUCAACUUCUUAGAACGAAGCAAAGAAUAAUUCGAGAUUGUUAUUGUCUUCUAGGCGAAGGUUAAAUAAAGUCUUUAAUGUUUAGAUGAUGAAUUGAGAGUUUGUAAUAAUGAGAUUCUUUCUUUAGGUUGAGAUUUAUUUGGAGUUGAGGAAUAUUUAUUUUUAUCAAGUUAAUUGGCUUAGUUGACUUUUGGGAUUAUAGAGAAUAUUUGUUGUUGGUUUUAGUUCAAUGAAGAGAUUUGUUUUAGUGUUCUUUUAA
Long non-coding RNA from Asparagus officinalis (garden asparagus), 565 nucleotides. RefSeq lists it as uncharacterized. NCBI's taxonomy places the organism in Eukaryota, Viridiplantae, Streptophyta, Magnoliopsida, Asparagales, Asparagaceae. The transcript has 3 exons. The record is from RefSeq and is a predicted model, not a curated record.